RNAcentral lists this ribosomal RNA (353 nucleotides) under uncultured Ruminococcus sp. Its description in RNAcentral is "partial 16S ribosomal RNA". The record is from RNAcentral. Lineage: Bacteria; Bacillati; Bacillota; Clostridia; Eubacteriales; Oscillospiraceae.
GGAGUCUGGGCCGUGUCUCAGUCCCAAUGUGGCCGUUCAACCUCUCAGUCCGGCUACCGAUCGUCGCCUUGGUGGGCCAUUACCCCGCCAACAAGCUAAUCGGACGCGAGUCCAUCUCUAAGCGAUAAAUCUUUGAUAUCAAAGUCAUGCGGCUUCAAUAUGUUAUGCGGUAUUAGCGAUCUUUUCAGAACGUUAUUCCCCUCUUAGAGGCAGGUUACUCACGCGUUACUCACCCGUCCGCCACUAAACUAAAAAUCCAUCAUCCCGAAGGAAUCUGUCAAAAUAGUUCCGUUCGACUUGCAUGUGUUAGGCACGCCGCCAGCGUUCGUCCUCGAGCCACUGAUCAAACUACU